CUAUUAGUUUAUCAACCCUAGGCAUUGGAUAAGCAUCAGACUUAAACUUUGACACUAUUUAAUUUACGAAAAUCAUUACAAAAUCUUAAUGAGCCAUCAGGUUUUGGCACCAGUACUAUAGGGCUGUUCCACUCGCUUUGUGAUUCCUCAAUAAUAUCAAGAUCUAACAUUUUCUUAAUUUUAGCAGUUACAGCCUCUUUCUGUGCUUCUGGACUUCUGUAUGGUUUAAGACUUAUCUUCAUCCCUGGUUCUGUAACAAUAUCAUGCUUGAUAACGUUAGUCCUGCC
Non-coding RNA from Pelobates cultripes (western spadefoot toad), 287 nucleotides. The record is from the annotation of a GenBank genome assembly. NCBI's taxonomy places the organism in Eukaryota, Metazoa, Chordata, Amphibia, Anura, Pelobatidae.